UUAUUCUCGAAUCGCUCUAGUACGAUGGAUAUUGUCACUAGGCUGGGAAUACAUACAAGAAGCUCUCUAUCUCUUUCUCUUAGUUAGCCAGGUUAAACUUUAGUUUUCGAUUCCGCGACUCUGAGAAUCACAAACUAGAAAUAUCAUAAGAAAAGAGAAAAGAAAAUAACUAAAAGAGGGAAAGACUCUUUAUUACACGAGUACGAGCGUAGAGUAAGGAGCUGUAGUUGGUCGCCUCUCCUU
RNAcentral lists this unclassified non-coding RNA (243 nucleotides) under Hevea brasiliensis (rubber tree). The record is from RNAcentral. Lineage: Eukaryota; Viridiplantae; Streptophyta; Magnoliopsida; Malpighiales; Euphorbiaceae.